Molecule: ribosomal RNA, 433 nt
Filed under: uncultured bacterium
Lineage: Bacteria
Description: partial 16S ribosomal RNA
Rfam family: Bacterial small subunit ribosomal RNA
Source: RNAcentral
AACGAACGCUGGCGGCAUGCCUAACACAUGCAAGUCGAACGAGACCUUCGGGUCUAGUGGCGCACGGGUGCGUAACGCGUGGGAACCUGCCCGUAGGCUCGGAAUAACUCCCCGACAGGGGUGCUAACGCGGGGAAACUUAUGCGAACAAAGGAUUUGACCCGUUGGUGUGGGCCGGGGUUGAUUUAGCUGGUUGUUAGGGAAAAAUCCUACCACGGCGCCGCUCAUUAGCUGGGCUGUGAGGAUGCUCAGCCACACUGGGACUGGGACCCGGCCGAGACUCCUACGGGAGGCAGCAGUGGGGAAUAUUGGACAAUGGGCGAAAGCCUGAUCCAGUAAGGCUGGGUGAGUGAUGAAGGCCUGAGGGUUGUAAAGCUCUUUUACCCGGGAUGAUAAUGACAGUACCGGGAGAAUAAGCUCCGGCUAACUCCGUG